GAACGCGAAGAACCUUACCCGGGCUUGAAUUGCAGAGGAAGGAUUUAGAGAUAAUGACGCCCUUCGGGGCCUCUGUGAAGGUGCUGCAUGGUUGUCGUCAGCUCGUGCCGUGAGGUGUCGGCUUAAGUGCCAUAACGAGCGCAACCCCUCUCUUCAGUUGCCAUCAGGUUAAGCUGGGCACUCUGGAGACACUGCCACCGUAAGGUGUGAGGAAGGUGGGGAUGACGUCAAAUCAGCACGGCCCUUACGUCCGGGGCUACACACGUGUUACAAUGGCCGGUACAGAGGGAUGGUGUAAUGCAAAUUGCAUCAAAUCUUGAAAGCCGGUCCCAGUUCGGACUGGGGUCUGCAACCCGACCCCACGAAGCUGGAUUCGCUAGUAAUCGCGCAUCAGCCAUGGCGCGGUGAAUACGUUCCCGGGUCUUGUACACACC
RNAcentral lists this ribosomal RNA (434 nucleotides) under uncultured bacterium. Its description in RNAcentral is "bacterial SSU rRNA". It matches the Rfam family "Bacterial small subunit ribosomal RNA", at positions 957 to 1391 of the family's 1533-position model. The record is from RNAcentral.